GCCCUUAUGGCGUAGUGGUAGCGCGUCGCACUUGUAUUUCCGUCUUUGGUAGCAAUGCGAAGGUCACUAGUUCAAUCCUGGUUGGGGGCA
Molecule: non-coding RNA, 90 nt
Organism: Macrolepiota fuliginosa MF-IS2
Lineage: Eukaryota; Fungi; Basidiomycota; Agaricomycetes; Agaricales; Agaricaceae
Source: the annotation of a GenBank genome assembly